Molecule: unclassified non-coding RNA, 429 nt
Filed under: Philotheca queenslandica
Lineage: Eukaryota; Viridiplantae; Streptophyta; Magnoliopsida; Sapindales; Rutaceae
Description: partial external transcribed spacer
Source: RNAcentral
GCAGGCUCCGUGCUGGUGCAUCGAACUGUUGGCUCCUCAUCUGCUUCAUUCUUUUCCCAAGCGAAGCUUCUUCCUUGUGGGUGCAUAUGGUAUCCUGUGUUGCUUACCCAUGGAAUGGUAUUGGAUGGCAUUGUUGUGUUGAUCUGCCAUGUGUCCUUUGGGGUGUGGGGUAGACUGGAGGCGAGCUUUGUGUUCCUGGUGUAUCGAGCGUAAUGUCGUUUGGUCAUCGUGGCCCAUAAAGUCUUAGCUUGUUCUCUUGGAUGCGGAAUAUUAUGUGUGGACGUGAGGUCUUGACCUCGAUUCGUCUAACUACUGGCCCUUGACUCGAAUGACUGCUUGUGCCUGUUUUGAUCUUCCCGACCAAGGCUCCAUAAUGGGGCUUACUGGAUGAGGGUUGCUCAUAGUGGCGCUGGCAUCAAAGAGGAAUGC